This 253-nucleotide ribosomal RNA is filed under the name uncultured bacterium. RNAcentral's name for it is "partial 16S ribosomal RNA". It matches the Rfam family "Bacterial small subunit ribosomal RNA", at positions 524 to 776 of the family's 1533-position model. The record is from RNAcentral.
UACGUAGGGGGCUAGCGUUGUCCGGAAUCAUUGGGCGUAAAGCGCGUGUAGGCGGUCCGGUAAGUCCGCUGUGAAAGUCGAGGGCUCAACCCUCGAAUGCCGGUGGAUACUGUCGGGCUAGAGUGCGGAAGAGGCGAGUGGAAUUCCUGGUGUAGCGGUGAAAUGCGCAGAUAUCAGGAGGAACACCUAUUGCGAAGGCAGCUCGCCGGGACGUUACUGACGCUGAGACGCGAAAGCGUGGGGAGCAAACAGG